GGAACAGUGGUGAUUGGUGAUUGGUUGUUUGGAACAGUGAUGAUUGGUUGUGGUGAUCGGUGAUUGGUUGAUGGGAACAGUGAUGAUCGGUGAUUGGUUGAUGGAACAGUGAUGAUCGGUGAUUGGUUGAUGGAACAGUGGGGAUCGGUGACUGGUUGAUGGGAACAGUGGUGAUUGGUGAUUGGUUUUUGGGAACAGUGGUGAUUGGUGAUUGGUUGUUUGGAACAGUGAUGAUUGGUUGUGGUGAUCGGUGAUUGGUUGAUGGGAACAGUGGUGAUUGGUGAUUGGUUGUUUGGAACAGUGAUGAUUGGUUGUGGUGAUCGGUGAUUGGUUGAUGG
Ictalurus punctatus (channel catfish) is the source of this 338-nucleotide long non-coding RNA. The record is from Ensembl. Lineage: Eukaryota; Metazoa; Chordata; Actinopteri; Siluriformes; Ictaluridae.